This 253-nucleotide ribosomal RNA is filed under the name uncultured bacterium. RNAcentral describes it as "partial 16S ribosomal RNA". It matches the Rfam family "Bacterial small subunit ribosomal RNA", at positions 524 to 776 of the family's 1533-position model. The record is from RNAcentral.
UACGUAGGGUGCAAGCGUUGUCCGGAAUUAUUGGGCGUAAAGAGCUCGUAGGCGGUUUGUCGCGUCUGCUGUGAAAACCCGAGGCUCAACCUCGGGCCUGCAGUGGGUACGGGCAGACUAGAGUGCGGUAGGGGAGAUUGGAAUUCCUGGUGUAGCGGUGGAAUGCGCAGAUAUCAGGAGGAACACCGAUGGCGAAGGCAGAUCACUGGGCCGCAACUGACGCUGAGGAGCGAAAGCAUGGGGAGCGAACAGG